AAUUAGUUAUUAUAAUUAUUUGAAAUAUGUAUUUUAUUGUUAUUUGAUAAAUACAAACUGGAUGGCUUCAUCGUGCAUGAUUACGCAAUUCUUAAUUUGCUCCAUGAUCAUAUUUACCCACAAACUGUAAAUAAUCCGCUGCAGUGAUGAAUUAUGAGAAUCAAUAAUGAAUCUACGGCAACUGAGGUCACCACAACUAUAAUUGAUCCCCAAGCAAGUUGCAAAUAUACAUAGAAAAAGUAAUCGUGAUCGUUAAAAAUCAAAUAAUUAACUUUGAGAAGUUGUUGUCGUGGUCGAGUUUCAUUUAGCGGAAGAAAUACGUCUAAUAUAGGAGAAAUUAAUGGAAUCAAUAAGAACAAUACCAAAGCUAUCAACAAUGCACCUAAAAAAGACAAGAAAAUAGCUUGAUAAUUGAUGUCCGGCAGUUAACUUUGGAGAAAGAAGAUCUAUGAUUAUACUAAAAUAUUGAUUACGCUUGCUGCAGUAUGGAGUUUACUAAGCGUACAAUAACAAAAGAUUUUCCAAUAAUUUUCCACUUAAAUUUGUCGAACGAAUUCUUAAAAAGUAAAUUUAUUCGCAAUAUGUAUUCGUUCUCGGUGUUUUCAAUAACAAUACCUAUUGCCGAUGAUUCUCAUUUCAUUUCGAAAAAAAUGUAUAUAAACUUUAUUCUUUCAGAUUAAAAUUACUAAUUAUAAUAUAUUUUUAGGAUAAUA
This is a long non-coding RNA of Apis dorsata (giant honeybee), 713 nucleotides long. RefSeq lists it as uncharacterized. Lineage: Eukaryota; Metazoa; Arthropoda; Insecta; Hymenoptera; Apidae. The record is from RefSeq and is a predicted model, not a curated record. The transcript is spliced from 3 exons.